This 303-nucleotide ribosomal RNA is filed under the name uncultured bacterium. RNAcentral describes it as "partial 16S ribosomal RNA". It matches the Rfam family "Bacterial small subunit ribosomal RNA", at positions 507 to 809 of the family's 1533-position model. The record is from RNAcentral.
AGCAGUCGCCGCGGGAAUACAGAGGGUGCGAGCGUUAAUCGGAUUUACUGGGCGUAAAGCGUGCGUAGGCGGCUUUUUAAGUCGGAUGUGAAAUCCCUGAGCUUAACUUAGGAAUUGCAUUCGAUACUGGGAAGCUAGAGUAUGGGAGAGGAUGGUAGAAUUCCAGGUGUAGCGGUGAAAUGCGUAGAGAUCUGGAGGAAUACCGAUGGCGAAGGCAGCCAUCUGGCCUAAUACUGACGCUGAGGUACGAAAGCAUGGGGAGCAAACAGGAUUAGAUACCCGAGUAGUCCCUGUCUCUUAUAU